RNA transcript from Prionailurus viverrinus (fishing cat), 6992 nucleotides. It is a transcript of the gene named MAP kinase activating death domain, with no coding region annotated. The transcript is spliced from 33 exons. The record is from RefSeq and is a predicted model, not a curated record. Lineage: Eukaryota; Metazoa; Chordata; Mammalia; Carnivora; Felidae.
CUCGGAUAGGUGUGUGCGUAGCCGCCUUUCUCCCGAGGUUGGCUCCACCCUUCAGCGUUCGGCUUGGUGCAGCUCUGUCCCCCCCAGUGGUGCAUGGUACAGCCCCCGACCCCCUCAACCUCUCCCUCCCUCUCGGGCUCGGAGUGGUACGCGCCCCCCCCCUCCCCCCGGGCAGACACGGAACUGGCGCGCGCUGGAAGCCGCGCCGGCAAGCGACCGACGCUCAGCUGCCAGGGGCGGUCUGACUGGGCCUGGCCGGUUCCCCGAGGCUCGGGAGAUAAUACCAGAAAUCCUCCUGGGAACAUUGACUCCUUGUGCGGUGCCUUGAAGUUUCUGUGAGAUGAACUGAUGAAUUGGAAUCAUGGUGCAAAAGAAGAAGUUCUGUCCUCGGUUACUUGACUAUCUAGUGAUCGUAGGGGCCAGGCACCCGAGCAGUGAUAGUGUGGCCCAGACUCCCGAAUUGCUACGGCGAUACCCGCUGGAGGACCACGCUGAGUUUCCCCUGCCCCCAGACGUUGUGUUUUUCUGCCAACCAGAGGGCUGUCUGAGUGUGAGGCAGCGACGCAUGAGCCUGCGGGAUGACACUUCUUUCGUCUUCACCCUCACUGACAAGGACACUGGAGUCACGCGUUACGGCAUCUGUGUUAACUUCUACCGCUCCUUCCAGAAGCGAAUGCCUAAGGAGAAGGGGGAAGGUGGGGGAGGGUCCCGUGGGAAGGAAGGACCCCGUGCCACUUGUGCCUCAGAAGAAGUUGGUACUGAGAGCUCGGAGAGUGGCUUGUCCCUGCAGCCUCCCAAUGCUGACUCUGCCCCUGAGGUGAAUCAGUCUCCUCGGGGCAAACCCCGGGCCAAAGCAGGAAGUCGUUCCCGCAACAGUACUCUGACAUCCUUGUGUGUGCUCAGCCACUACCCCUUCUUCUCCACCUUCCGAGAAUGUCUGUACACCCUCAAACGUCUGGUGGACUGCUGCAGUGAGCGGCUGCUGGGCAAGAAACUAGGCAUCCCUCGAGGCAUACAAAGGGACACUAUGUGGCGCAUCUUUACUGGAUCAUUGCUAGUGGAGGAGAAGUCAAGUGCCCUUCUGCAUGACCUUCGAGAGAUUGAGGCCUGGAUCUAUCGAUUGCUGCGCUCCCCAGUGCCUGUUUCUGGGCAGAAGCGAGUAGACAUUGAAGUCCUACCCCAGGAGCUCCAACAAGCUCUGACCUUUGCUCUUCCAGACCCUUCUCGAUUCACCCUAGUGGAUUUCCCACUGCACCUUCCCUUGGAACUUCUGGGUGUGGAUGCCUGUCUUCAGGUGCUAACCUGCAUCCUGUUAGAGCACAAGGUGGUGCUACAGUCCCGAGACUACAAUGCCCUUUCCAUGUCUGUGAUGGCGUUUGUGGCGAUGAUCUACCCAUUGGAGUAUAUGUUUCCUGUAAUCCCACUGUUGCCCACCUGCAUGGCAUCUGCAGAACAGCUACUGUUGGCUCCAACUCCGUACAUCAUUGGGGUCCCUGCCAGCUUCUUCCUCUACAAACUGGACUUCAAAAUGCCUGAUGAUGUAUGGCUGGUGGAUCUGGACAGCAAUAGGGUGAUUGCCCCCACCAAUGCAGAAGUGCUACCAAUCCUGCCAGAACCGGAAUCAUUGGAGCUGAAAAAGCAUCUGAAGCAGGCCCUUGCCAGCAUGAGUCUCAACACCCAGCCCAUCCUCAAUCUGGAGAAAUUCCAUGAAGGCCAAGAGAUCCCCCUUCUCUUGGGAAGGCCCUCUAACGACUUGCAGUCCACACCUUCCACUGAAUUCAACCCACUCAUUUAUGGCAAUGAUGUAGAUUCUGUGGAUGUCGCAACCAGAGUGGCCAUGGUCCGCUUCUUCAACUCCCCCAACGUGCUGCAGGGUUUUCAGAUGCACACACGUACCCUGCGCCUCUUCCCUCGGCCUGUGGUAGCUUUUCAAGCUGGCUCCUUUCUAGCCUCACGUCCCCGACAGACUCCUUUUGCUGAGAAGCUGGCCAGGACUCAGGCUGUGGAGUACUUUGGCGAAUGGGUCCUUAACCCCACCAACUAUGCCUUCCAGCGAAUUCACAACAAUAUGUUUGAUCCAGCCCUGAUUGGUGACAAGCCAAAGUGGUAUGCUCAUCAGCUGCAGCCUAUCCAUUAUCGAGUCUAUGAUAGCAAUUCCCAGCUGGCGGAGGCACUGAGUGUGCCACCAGAGCGUGACUCUGACUCGGACCCUACUGAUGACAGUGGCAGUGAUAGCAUGGAUUAUGAUGACUCAAGCUCUUCUUACUCCUCCCUUGGUGACUUUGUCAGUGAAAUGAUGAAAUGUGACAUCAAUGGUGAUACCCCUAAUGUGGAUCCAUUGACGCAUGCAGCCCUGGGGGAUGCCAGUGAGGUGGAGAUUGCUGAGCUGCAGAACCAGAAGGAAUCAGAGGAACCUGGCCCAGACAGCGAGAACCCUCAGGAAAACCCCCCGCUGCGCUCCAGCUCCAGCACCACCGCCAGCAGUAGCCCCAGCACUGUCGUCCAUGGAGCUAAUUCUGAACCUGCUGACUCAACGGAGGUGGACGAUAAGGCAGCAGUAGGCGUUUCCAAGCCCCUCCCUACCACGCCUCCCAGCAUUGGCAAAUCGACCGCGGACAGGCGUCAGACAGAAAUUGGAGAGGGGUCAGUGCACCGGCGAACCUAUGACAAUCCAUACUUCGAGCCCCAAUAUGGCUUUCCCCCUGAGGAAGAUGAUGAUGAGCAGGGGGAAAGUUACACUCCCCGAUUCAGCCAACAUGUCAAUGGCAAUCGGGCUCAAAAGCUGCUGCGGCCCAACAGCUUGAAACUGGCAAGCGACUCAGACGCAGAAUCAGACUCUCGAGCGAGCUCUCCCACCUCCACCGUCUCCAACAACAGCACCGAGGGCUUCGGGGGCAUCAUGUCUUUUGCCAGCAGCCUAUAUCGGAACCACAGUACAAGCUUCAGCCUUUCAAACCUCACGCUGCCCACCAAAGGUGCCCGAGAGAAGACCACACCCUUCCCCAGUCUGAAAGUAUUUGGGCUAAAUACUCUAAUGGAGAUUGUUACUGAAGCCGGCCCCGGGAGUGGUGAAGGAAACAGGAGGGCCUUAGUGGACCAGAAGUCAUCUGUUAUUAAACACAGCCCAACAGUGAAAAGAGAGCCUCCAUCACCUCAGGGUCGAUCCAGCAAUUCUAGUGAGAACCAGCAGUUCCUGAAGGAGGUGGUGCACAGUGUGCUGGACGGCCAGGGCGUUGGCUGGCUCAACAUGAAAAAGGUGCGCCGGCUGCUGGAGAGUGAGCAGCUGCGCGUCUUUGUCCUGAGCAAGCUGAACCGCACAGUGCAGUCGGAGGACGACGCCCGGCAAGACGUCAUCCCUGAUGUGGAGGUCAGUCGAAAGGUGUACAAGGGGAUGCUAGACCUGCUCAAGUGCACGGUGCUCAGCCUGGAGCAGUCCUAUGCCCACGCGGGCCUGGGAGGCAUGGCCAGCACCUUUGGGCUUCUGGAGAUUGCCCAGACCCACUACUACAGUAAAGAACCAGACAAGCGGAAGAGAAGUCCAACAGAGAGCGUAAAUACACCAGUUGGCAAGGAUCCUGGCCUGGCCGGGCGGGGGGACCCAAAGGCUAUGGCACAGCUGAGAGUUCCCCAGCUAGGACCUCGGGCACCAAGUGCUGCAGGAAAGGGUCCUAAAGAGCUAGACACCAGAAGUUUAAAGGAAGAGAAUUUUGUAGCGUCUAUUGGGCCUGAAGUAAUCAAACCCGUCUUUGACCUUGGUGAGACAGAAGAGAAAAAGUCCCAGAUCAGCGCGGACAGUGGCGUGAGCCUGACAUCUGGUUCCCAGAGGACUGAUCCAGACUCUGUCAUUGGUGUGAGUCCAGCUGUUAUGAUCCGAAGCUCAAGUCAGGACUCUGAAGUUAGCACCGUGGUGAGUAAUAGUUCUGGAGAGACCCUUGGAGCAGACAGUGACCUGAGCAGCAACGCAGGUGAUGGAGCAGGUGGUGAGGGCAGCGCCCACUUGGCCAGCUCUCGGGGCACUUUGUCUGAUAGUGAAAUUGAGACCAACUCCGCUACCAGCACCAUCUUUGGGAAAGCCCACAGCUUGAAGCCAAGUGUAAAGGAGAAGCUGGUGGGCAGCCCAGUUCGCUCUUCUGAAGAUGUAAGCCAGCGAGUCUAUCUCUACGAGGGACUCUUAGGCAAAGAGCGUUCUACUUUGUGGGACCAAAUGCAGUUCUGGGAAGAUGCAUUCUUAGAUGCUGUGAUGUUGGAGAGAGAAGGAAUGGGUAUGGAUCAGGGUCCCCAGGAAAUGAUCGACAGGUACCUGUCCCUGGGAGAACAUGACCGGAAGCGUCUGGAGGAUGAUGAAGAUCGUUUGCUGGCCACGCUUUUGCACAACCUCAUCUCCUACAUGCUGCUGAUGAAGGUAAAUAAGAAUGACAUCCGGAAGAAGGUGAGGCGCCUGAUGGGAAAGUCGCAUAUUGGGCUUGUGUACAGCCAGCAAAUCAAUGAAGUGCUUGAUCAGCUGGCUAACCUGAAUGGACGUGACCUCUCUAUCCGGUCCAGUGGCAGCCGACACAUGAAGAAGCAGACAUUUGUGGUACAUGCGGGGACAGACACAAAUGGAGAUAUCUUCUUCAUGGAGGUGUGUGAUGACUGUGUGGUGUUGCGUAGUAACAUCGGGACGGUGUAUGAGCGCUGGUGGUACGAGAAGCUCAUCAACAUGACCUACUGUCCCAAGACCAAGGUGUUGUGCUUGUGGCGUAGAAAUGGCUCUGAGACUCAGCUCAACAAAUUCUAUACUAAGAAGUGUCGGGAGCUGUACUACUGUGUGAAGGAUAGCAUGGAGCGAGCUGCUGCCCGACAGCAAAGCAUCAAACCCGGCCCUGAACUAGGUGGCGAGUUCCCCGUGCAGGACAUGAAGACGGGUGAGGGUGGCUUGCUGCAGGUCACCCUAGAAGGGAUCAAUCUCAAGUUCAUGCACAACCAGGUCUGGACUCACAUGGCAGUAACUCAAACCUCGGAGCUCCAGAGGAGGGACUAGAGGCAGAGAGAAGAACCACCUCUGCAGAGAGGUCAGGAGGAUUAGGAGCGAUAGGGAAGAAAAGGGAACCCGAGAUGAGCAAAGGGAAGGAGGAAGAAAGAAAAGAGAGACCAGAGCCGCUAGGGAGUGGGUCCCGGAAGAGCAAGUGGCCUUAGACAGGGUUAGAGUUCAGAGAUGCCCCUACAAAGGCUCAGCGAGCUGGUGCCACCUUCCCUUGCUUGGCCAGCUGGUGAUCAGAAAGUUCUGGGGCAGAGCAGACGGGCAGUUUCCAAGCUCUACUGUGUUCAUGUCGCCUGCUGCGAUUCUCCUGGCAGCCCAGUGCUCCAUGUAGCCACCUGGUGCCGCUCUGGUGUCCCCUGAGCCUCUGCGCUGGAGGAGGGCGCAUGGUGGUACCGGCAGACUCACUCUGGAAGGCAGGGAGCCUCGUGGGCCUCAGAGGCAGGCAGGGCAGUUGUAGCUGGAGGCUGGGAGCCAGCCUCCCUGCAGCCAGGCGCUGAGAAGUGGUGUAGUGGGUUCUCACCCUGGGGCUUUGAGUUCCUGCUGUGUUUGUGCUUCAUUCUUUUGUGCCCCCCAUCGCUGCUAUGAAAACCUUCGUUCUCCAGCAGGUAAAGUGACCUCGGCUCGUGCUGCCUCCCCCCAGGCCCCUGCCUGGGCCCUGCCGUGGGUGGGAUGGGCUCCCUUCAACCAGGCCAGCCGCUCCCAUUGCCAGUUGUCUCAUCCCUUUUCUCCCCACCCUCUUCCUCUCAGCCUCCCCCCACCCGCGUGCUGGCUCACUCGUUCUGAGUUUUCUCCCCUGUGUGCUCCCUCCUCUCUUCUGCCAGAGAGAUAUUUGGGGGAAUCUUUCAACUCAGAAGAAGGACCUGGGCUUCUUGCUCUACCUAUGAUGAGUUUAUUCCCUGGUUAACCCUGGGUCCCCCUGAGUUCUACCUCCCAGGGUCGGAAGAAGGUGUGGCCAACUCUCCUGCUACCUUUUCUGGCCCCCAGGGUGAUGCCAUGCCCCCCUGCUCCCACCUCCAGGGGCCAUCAGGAUGGCUGUGCCCCGGGGGGGGGGGGGGGCCUUUCUCCUUCCUCUGGCCAAGCAGAACCCCUGCAUGGCUGGGGCAGGAGUGACUCUUAGUCUUGCAUUCUGGGCUGUGGACAUGUGUGUAUUUUGCCUGAUGCUCCCUGUCACCUCCCUCCCCGGGUGCUGUACUCGCCUGUCUUCCGCUCGGUGUGUCUGCUCCAGAGCCCUCUGACGCUCUCCCUCACACAGGCAGGCCUGGGCCUCUCCUGCCACUCAGGGAAGGAAACUUACAGGUCUGGUGGGUUGAGUAUCAUGCCGCUUCUUCAUCCAGCCUAAGGACCCUCUGUGUAGAGGCUGGGAGUGCAGGGAACCAUGCUUAACAUGAACAGUCUCGGGCUGGUCACAGGAAUGAGUUCUCGGGCAUCUCAGCACGGCGAGAGGCACAGGCUAGAGACAACUCUCAGCCAAAACGUGGGAACGCCCCACCGCAGCUCUGCAGGGCCCUGGACAGUGGCAGUGAACAGGCUGGUGAGAGGCCAGCCCGCUCCCCUGCUGAGGCUCUCCAGGAAGUGGGUAGAGUCACAGCCAUGGCACAGGGAGCCACAGCAGGCCUCAGAGGUCUGGCUGAGGAGUCUGGGGCAGCGGCCUCUCAUCCAGCAGCAGCUGGACAGAAGCUGGCAUGGCCUGAGCCGCCACAGCCACUGGGACGUGCCACGGUGGGGAAGGGGACCCUGGUGCCGGGCGCUGCCGCCUGGGAGAGCCUGGCACUACCGCUCUUAGUUUUGAACUUUCUGUUUUGUCUCUUGCCCGUCCGGUUUUAGUUCCUGAAAUUAAAGAAGUGGUGAGCCACAAGUACAAGACACCAAUGGCCCAUGAGAUCUGCUACUCUGUGUUGUGUCUCUUCUCGUAUGUGGCCGCAGUCCGUAGCAGUGAGGAAGAUCUCAGGACCCCACCCCGGCCCGUCUCGAG